GGCUAUGAUUUAAUUAUCACCAUAACUAUCUCAUUUUAGAGAUCUAAUAAUUUAAAAAAUUUAAUUUAUGAAUUGAGAGAAAAGAGAAGAGAUCAAUCGGUAGAUCGCAAUUCUCCCACCGAUUUUAUCAAGUCAUUAAAUUGGAUUAGGGUCAUUCUGAUAAAAAUGGCACCUAGAUCAGUCACACUGAUUAACCUUAAUGGCAUGGACUAACUCGAAUUACUUAACGAUCUUAUCAAAAUAUAAUUCAUCAAAUUGGUCAGGUAAGUG
RNAcentral lists this long non-coding RNA (270 nucleotides) under Elaeis guineensis (African oil palm). Its description in RNAcentral is "long non-coding RNA (EGUI_LNC057896)". The record is from RNAcentral. Lineage: Eukaryota; Viridiplantae; Streptophyta; Magnoliopsida; Arecales; Arecaceae.